AUUGAACGCUGGCGGCAGGCCUAACACAUGCAAGUCGAGCGGAUGAAGGGAGCUUGCUCCUGGAUUCAGCGGCGGACGGGUGAGUAAUGCCUAGGAAUCUGCCUGGUAGUGGGGGAUAACGUCCGGAAACGGGCGCUAAUACCGCAUACGUCCUGAGGGAGAAAGUGGGGGAUCUUCGGACCUCCCGCUAUCAGAUGAGCCUAGGUCGGAUUAGCUAGUUGGUGGGGUAAAGGCCUACCAAGGCAACGAUCCGUAACUGGUCUGAGAGGAUGAUCAGUCACACUGGACCUGAGAACCGUCCCGACCUCUACGGGAGGCAGCAGUGGGGAAUAUUGGACAAUGGGCGAAAGCCUGAUCCAGCCAUGCCGCGUGUGUGAAGAAGGUCUUCGGAUUGUAAAGCACUUUAAGUUGGGAGGAAGGGCAGUAAGUUAAUACCUUGCUGUUUUGACGUUACCAACAGAAUAAGCACCGGCUAACUUCGUG
Molecule: ribosomal RNA, 483 nt
Filed under: uncultured bacterium
Lineage: Bacteria
Description: partial 16S ribosomal RNA
Rfam family: Bacterial small subunit ribosomal RNA
Source: RNAcentral